GACGAACGCUGGCGGCGUGCUUAACACAUGCAAGUCGAACGGAAAGGCCCCUUUGGGGGUACUCGAGUGGCGAACGGGUGAGUAACACGUGAGUAACCUGCCCUUGACUUCGGGAUAACUUCAGGAAACUGGGGCUAAUACCGGAUAGGAAUCCUUGCUGCAUGGUGGGGGUUGGAAAGCUUCGGCGGUUUUGGAUGGACUCGCGGCUUAUCAGCUUGUUGGUGGGGUAGUGGCUUACCAAGGCUUUGUCGGGUAGCCGGCCUGAGAGGGCGACCGGCCACAUUGGGACUGAGAUACGGCCCAGACUCCUACGGGAGGCAGCAGUGGGGAAGAUUGCACAAUGGGCGGAAGCCUGAUGCAGCAGCGCCGCGUGCGGGAUGACGGCCUUCGGGUUGUAAACCGCUUUCAGCAGGGGCGAAGCUUGUGGUGACGGUACCUGCAGAAGAAGCACCGGCUAACUACGUG
This 465-nucleotide ribosomal RNA is filed under the name uncultured bacterium. RNAcentral's name for it is "partial 16S ribosomal RNA". It matches the Rfam family "Bacterial small subunit ribosomal RNA", at positions 28 to 507 of the family's 1533-position model. The record is from RNAcentral.